Astyanax mexicanus (Mexican tetra) is the source of this 1183-nucleotide long non-coding RNA. RefSeq lists it as uncharacterized. The record is from RefSeq and is a predicted model, not a curated record. The transcript is spliced from 3 exons. NCBI's taxonomy places the organism in Eukaryota, Metazoa, Chordata, Actinopteri, Characiformes, Acestrorhamphidae.
GUAAAUGACAAAAAUGAUAAGAGUCUAAAGGUUUUAGGUCAAAUUUAUGCAUGAAAUCUGGAAAUCGGAUGUUCUUUAGCCAUGUUUGUGCAACUAGUGUUAUUGGUGCACAUCCCAUGCAUGUCUUCACAGCCAAACAUGGUCAAUAGAUUGUUGUAGUUUGUCUCAUCAGCACACUCAGGCCUUUCUGAAACCAGUGCAAUCUUUUUUGGCAAAUUGUCAUUUUACUUUCUAUUCCGCUAUUCAGAGAAUUCAAAGCAUCGCGACCAACCACAUCAGAUCAAGAUUGAAAGAUUAUUCAAAUCUGCCUCAAGACCAUCGAUUUUGCUUGUCUGUUUUUAAACGCUUACAGUGCAAAAUGUCUGAUUCCAAGAAAGAAGCAAACGGCUUUUUUUUGUGUGUGUGGGCUGCCUGGCUUUGUCUGUGUGCGUAUGUAUAUAUAAAUACGCUACGAGCAAAGGAUACAAUCACUUCAGUUAGGAUCAAGCACCAGAGGAGACCUUCCUCCUGCUAAGUUAAACUUAACCUAGCUUUACGUUUCCAGCCAAGAUGAAGACUGUGUUUGUGCUUCUCGCUGUUGCUGUUUCAUGUGUUUUUGCCAAAUCCAGAACAGAGCUCAGAGAAAUUAAGGCUUCGAUAGAGAGAGUCAAGAACAACCUGCCUAAGGUAAGAUGCAUUAUGUUUAUUGCUUCUUUUUUGGAGUCAAAUUGUAAAAUACAGUGCCUAGAACUUGAUUACAAAUAUUUGUUUUUUGUUCUUGAACUAGACACACGUUGUAUUUGUGAUUGAACCUAAGCACAUAAAUUGUACGGAUACAUUUUUCUGUCAAGUUCAGAAAAUCCUGUCUGGAAACAACGGUGUUUCCAAGCUUCCUAAUUUCUCGGAUGUUGACAUCUUGAUCAGAAAGUUGAAAGCAUAUAACAAGCACCCUGUGGAAAACUGCACCAUCGAAACCACUGGAGAGGAAAUCGGGCUAUUUCAGUUUCUGGACGGCGUGAAGACAUAUGUACAAAAAGCCAUCGCAAAGUCCAGAUGAACAGAGCUCUUCUUUGAGAUGUUUUUUUUUAUUUCUAAUUUAUGAAAGGACAUAUUUAAAUUGACUUGGAUGCCCCUAUCAGAUGCAUUUGUAUUUAUUUUGUCCUUGUGAUGCUUUAUUUUGGCAAUAAAUAAAUUGUAAAAAAAA